This 76-nucleotide small RNA is filed under the name Salmonella enterica. Its description in RNAcentral is "partial RtT sRNA". It matches the Rfam family "RtT RNA", at positions 1 to 76 of the family's 130-position model. Rfam says of the family: This family represents a bacterial cis-regulatory element known as RtT RNA. The exact function of RtT is unknown although it is thought that it may be involved in changing the cellular response in relation to amino acid starvation. Lineage: Bacteria; Pseudomonadati; Pseudomonadota; Gammaproteobacteria; Enterobacterales; Enterobacteriaceae. The record is from RNAcentral. RNAcentral also lists the same sequence under 5 other names.
AUAUCUCUCUGUACGGGAAGGAUGAGAAGCUUCUACCAGGGUUCGAUUCGAGCGCAGCGAGAAAGCGUUGCCGCAG